AGGGAAUCUUCCACAAUGGACGAAAGUCUGAUGGAGCAACGCCGCGUGAGCGAUGAAGGCCUUCGGGUCGUAAAGCUCUGUUGUUAGGGAAGAACAAGUAUCGGAGUAACUGCCGGUACCUUGACGGUACCUAACCAGAAAGCCACGGCUAACUACGUGCCAGCAGCCGCGGUAAUACGUAGGUGGCAAGCGUUGUCCGGAAUUAUUGGGCGUAAAGCGCGCGCAGGCGGUCCUUUAAGUCUGAUGUGAAAGCCCACGGCUCAACCGUGGAGGGUCAUUGGAAACUGGGGGACUUGAGUGCAGAAGAGGAAAGCGGAAUUCCACGUGUAGCGGUGAAAUGCGUAGAGAUGUGGAGGAACACCAGUGGCGAAGGCGGCUUUCUGGUCUGUAACUGACGCUGAGGCGCGAAAGCGUGGGGAGCAAAC
RNAcentral lists this ribosomal RNA (425 nucleotides) under uncultured bacterium. RNAcentral describes it as "bacterial SSU rRNA". It matches the Rfam family "Bacterial small subunit ribosomal RNA", at positions 356 to 773 of the family's 1533-position model. The record is from RNAcentral.